GACGAACGCUGGCGGCGUGCUUAACACAUGCAAGUCGAGCGGUAAGGCCCUUUCGGGGGUACACGAGCGGCGAACGGGUGAGUAACACGUGGGUGACCUGCCCUCAGCUCUGGGAUAAGCCUGGGAAACUGGGUCUAAUACCGGAUAUGACUCCAUGACGCAUGUUGUGGGGUGGAAAGCCUUGUGCGGCUGAGGAUGGGCCCGCGGCCUAUCAGCUUGUUAGUGGGGGAUGGCCUACCAAGGCGACGACGGGUAGCCGGCCUGAGAGGGCGACCGGCCACACUGGGACUGAGACACGGCCCAGACUCCUACGGGAGGCAGCAGUGGGGAAUCUUGCGCAAUGGGCGAAAGCCUGACGCAGCGACGCCGCGUGAGGGAUGACGGCCU
This 387-nucleotide ribosomal RNA is filed under the name uncultured bacterium. Its description in RNAcentral is "bacterial SSU rRNA". It matches the Rfam family "Bacterial small subunit ribosomal RNA", at positions 28 to 417 of the family's 1533-position model. The record is from RNAcentral.